UAACCAGGUUAGAUCCUAGCUGGAAGUCACUGCUAUCGGGGUCGACUUAAGACCAUGCGACGUCGAGAGGGUUCAGACCCUCGGACGGACUGCUCAGUAACACGUGGAUAACCUGACCUGUGGUGGAGCAUAACCCCGGGAAACUGGGGAUAAUACUCCAUAGACUAGGUAUUCUGGAAUGUCAUUUAGUCGAAAGUUCCGGCGCCUUAGGAUGGAUCUGCGGCCGAUUAGGUAGUUGUUGGGGUAAAGGCCCAACAAGCCUGUAAUCGGUACGGGUUGUGGGAGCAAGAGCCCGGAGAUGGAAUCUGAGACACGAUUCCAGGCCCUACGGGGCGCAGCAGGCGCGAAAACUUUACAAUGCAGGAAACUGUGAUACGGGGACCCCGAGUGCUCGUACACGCGAGCUGUCCAGGUGUGUCACACGCAUCUGAAGAAAGGGCCGGGCAAGACCGGUGCCAGCCGCCGCGGUAAUACCGACGGCUCGAGUGGUGACCACUAUAAUUGGGCUUAAA
This 512-nucleotide ribosomal RNA is filed under the name uncultured Methanoplanus sp. Its description in RNAcentral is "bacterial SSU rRNA". It matches the Rfam family "Archaeal small subunit ribosomal RNA", at positions 1 to 514 of the family's 1478-position model. Lineage: Archaea; Methanobacteriati; Methanobacteriota; Methanomicrobia; Methanomicrobiales; Methanomicrobiaceae. The record is from RNAcentral.